Molecule: ribosomal RNA, 588 nt
Filed under: uncultured bacterium
Lineage: Bacteria
Description: partial 16S ribosomal RNA
Rfam family: Bacterial small subunit ribosomal RNA
Source: RNAcentral
UGGGGAAUAUUGGACAAUGGGCGCAAGCCUGAUCCAGCAAUGCCGCGUGUGUGAAGAAGGCCUUCGGGUUGUAAAGCACUUUUAUCAGGAGCGAAACGCUGUCGGCUAAUACCCGGCGGAACUGACGGUACCUGAGGAAUAAGCACCGGCUAACUUCGUGCCAGCAGCCGCGGUAAUACGAAGGGUGCAAGCGUUAAUCGGAAUUACUGGGCGUAAAGCGUGCGUAGGCGGUUUCUUAAGUCUGCUGUGAAAUCCCCGGGCUCAACCUGGGAAUGGCAGUGGAUACUGGGAGGCUAGAGUGUGUCAGAGGGUGGUGGAAUUCCCGGUGUAGCGGUGAAAUGCGUAGAGAUCGGGAGGAACAUCAGUGGCGAAGGCGGCCACCUGGGACAACACUGACGCUGAGGCACGAAAGCGUGGGGAGCAAACAGGAUUAGAUACCCUGGUAGUCCACGCCCUAAAGCGAUGCGAACUGGAUGUUGGUCUCAACUCGGAGAUCAGUGUCGAAGCUAACGCGUUAAGUUCGCCGCCUGGGGGAGUACGGUCGCAAGACUGAAACUUAAAUGAAUUGACGGGGUCAUAGCUGUUUCC